This 206-nucleotide ribosomal RNA is filed under the name uncultured bacterium. RNAcentral's name for it is "partial 16S ribosomal RNA". It matches the Rfam family "Bacterial small subunit ribosomal RNA", at positions 1288 to 1500 of the family's 1533-position model. The record is from RNAcentral.
CGGAAUUGAAGGCUGAAAUUCGCCUUCAUGAAGCUGGAAUUGCUGUAAUGGCAGGUCAGCAUACUGCCGUGAAUACGUUCCCGGGCCUUGUACACACCGCCCGUCACACCAUGAGAGUUGGGAAUACCCGAAGCCUGUGAGCUAACUUUUAGAGGCAGCAGUCGAAGGUAGAAUCAAUGAUUGGGGUGAAGUCGUAACAAGGUACC